RNAcentral lists this long non-coding RNA (212 nucleotides) under Elaeis guineensis (African oil palm). RNAcentral's name for it is "long non-coding RNA (EGUI_LNC066355)". The record is from RNAcentral. Lineage: Eukaryota; Viridiplantae; Streptophyta; Magnoliopsida; Arecales; Arecaceae.
GGUAUGAGAUCUGAUCUCAUAAAUUAAUUUUAGAUUUUAUAUAUCUUAGAUCCAUGUUAGAAAAAGGUUUUAGAUCUGAUUUAAUGCAUGAUAAAAUAGUUAAUCUAUUUUAUUCUGCUGUGAUUUCAAAACAGUUUUGAAAAACAUGCAUGUAAUCUGCCCUUCCCCUUUCUAACAGUGGUACCAGAGCCACGAUUUUAAUUAGACAUAUU